RNAcentral lists this ribosomal RNA (465 nucleotides) under uncultured bacterium. RNAcentral's name for it is "partial 16S ribosomal RNA". It matches the Rfam family "Bacterial small subunit ribosomal RNA", at positions 28 to 507 of the family's 1533-position model. The record is from RNAcentral.
GACGAACGCUGGCGGCGUGCUUAACACAUGCAAGUCGAACGGAAAGGCCCUGCUUGCAGGGUACUCGAGUGGCGAACGGGUGAGUAACACGUGGGUGAUCUGCCCUGCACUUCGGGAUAAGCCUGGGAAACUGGGUCUAAUACCGGAUAGGAGCCAUUUUUAGUGUGAUGGUUGGAAAGUUUUUUCGGUGUAGGAUGAGCUCGCGGCCUAUCAGCUUGUUGGUGGGGUAAUGGCCUACCAAGGCGGCGACGGGUAGCCGGCCUGAGAGGGUGGACGGCCACAUUGAGACUGAGAUACGGCCCCGACUCCUACGGGAGGCAGCAGUGGGGAAUAUUGCACAAUGGGCGCAAGCCUGAUGCAGCGACGCCGCGUGGGGGAUGACGGCCUUCGGGUUGUAAACUCCUUUCGCUAGGGACGAAGCUUUUUGUGACGGUACCUAGAUAAGAAGCACCGGCUAACUACGUG